UAUACGGUCUCAAGGCACAUUGU
Molecule: microRNA, 23 nt
Filed under: Sarcophilus harrisii (Tasmanian devil)
Lineage: Eukaryota; Metazoa; Chordata; Mammalia; Dasyuromorphia; Dasyuridae
Description: Sha-Mir-12475-P2b_5p (mature (guide))
Source: RNAcentral